GCGGAAUUAGCUCAGAUGGUUAGAGUACAAGCAUGACACGCUUGGGGUCACUAGUUCGAUUCUAGUAUUCCGCA
Molecule: transfer RNA, 74 nt
Filed under: Candidatus Gallitreponema excrementavium
Lineage: Bacteria; Pseudomonadati; Spirochaetota; Spirochaetia; Spirochaetales
Description: tRNA-Val
Rfam family: tRNA
About the family: Transfer RNA (tRNA) molecules are approximately 80 nucleotides in length. Their secondary structure includes four short double-helical elements and three loops (D, anti-codon, and T loops).
Source: RNAcentral